Molecule: non-coding RNA, 3040 nt
Organism: Phoenix dactylifera (date palm)
Lineage: Eukaryota; Viridiplantae; Streptophyta; Magnoliopsida; Arecales; Arecaceae
Source: RefSeq, a predicted model, not a curated record
CGCACACGGUACUGUGCAUCAUAUUCCAUUAGACGAGAUGUAAGUCGGGAAGGCUUCUUAUUAAACACCCAGCGCUCUGACAUUCCUCCGCGGCUUCUUUCUCUACUGCCCAAAAGAUCCGAGUUCACUCUGCACGGAGAUUACAUAGAGCUCCUCCACCGGAAGCGCCAUGGCUACGGGCUGCACCAUUUCGAUCGAAGAGCAAAAGAGAGGCUCGCGAAGUCCGCGAGCGAUCCGAUUGUGCCAAAAAGGCUCUUGGUAUCAAGAGGAAGAUGUUCGCAAAGAAACGGUAUUGCUGAGAUGGCGCUGAUGACGAAAACGCUUGCUAUACAAGAGGAGUUGCCAUCUAGGUGGACGGUAGAUGAACCGGUACAUGGGGGAGCUAUUCAUGCAUUUUUUCUGAAUCAUGAUGUUACAAUACAUACGAAGGUAAUCUCGCAUCGUUCCCAUGCAAAGCUACACUAAUAAGCAAAAGAGGAAUGAAAAGGUUGGCAAGUGGGAGCUCCCACUUCCAAAGGUAAACUGCCCGCACGGAUUCUUACAUAAUCUCUCUGUUUAAGCCCUGACGUCCUCAAUAGGCUAAAAGUCAAUCUAUUCAAAUCCAAUCAUAAACACCGUGAUCAACUCAUGGUCAAUCUGAAUGGGCUUGUGUUGCGGUAUCCCUUAGUCUACAUAGGUCAUGAGCUGCGUCUGCUCUGAUACCAUUUAUCACAACCUAGGACUCCAUCCAAAAAGGCUAGCUGAAACGGAUUAUUUGGAUUUCUUGGCCAUGUAUAAAUAUCCAAGAUCUUCUUAGCGAAGAACCGAGAUGAGACUAAAUACAUGCCCGCACGGACCCUCAAAUGAGUGAGUGUUUUAUUUUAGAAAUUCUCACAUGAGUUCAGACUAAAUUUCUAAAACAGAGAAGUUUUCUGCUGUCCCAUGGUAAGCACAAAAAGUAAGUUUCCUAUAUUUUAACCAUAUUAUUAACACUGGUAAAGUGUAUCUGAUAAUACAAAUUCAAUUUUUUUUUAAAAAUAAAUCUUUUCUUACCAAAAAAAUAUAUUAAAUGGUUUUCAUUGUUCGCCAGAAAUUUUGGUGUUGAGAUCUCCAUCUUUACAUCAACAGCAAAAUGAAAAAAGAAGAAGAAGAUGAGAAAUUGCAUUCAUGACUCUCAUAUAAUUACUGGAUAUCAGCUUUGCUCUUGCAGGAUAGGAAAAACAAUUGAGACAUUUCAAGCCCUUAUCAGUAGUACACUCCAAGCGAAGCCUGUUUAAUGCCUUAAAUCUUUCUUUAUGCACCAAAAAAUGUGGACGCCAUAGGUCUUCUGUUUUUUAAAAUUAAUAGUUCCUUAUGGUGCAGAUCUGGUUUAAAAUAGAUAGAUUUGCUAGUGUUGAUGGGAUAAAUAACUGAACUUUAUACUGAUGGUGGAAUCCUCGAACAUGAUGUUUCCUUCCAAUUAUCCUGUCUUGCAUAAUUUGAUGCUGUCUUAUCUUGGAAUUUCAUAAAUGAUCUGCAUUUUAGACUUCCUUCUCUUUUUUUGAUAAAACCCUUUUAGGGAACUUCUUCCAAUAAUGAUGGAUAAGCAGUAGUGUUAGGGAAUUACUUUGCUUUCAGAAUGCUGUCUUAUGUUCUUUAUCUAAUAUAAGCUGAAGAUACGCCUUAUGCUAAUGAGUUGAUUUCUAAUGUUUUCUGGUUUUGAUGUUCAACCAAUGAAUGGAAGAUAAUGGUCACCAAAAUCACAUGCGUAGGACCAGGUUUUACAAGGAAAACAACAAAAUAUGAGUGUUCCAUCCAUCCAAUGGAAUUGAGGUUCUAUCCAAUGGGAUUGUGGUUCUUGAGAGCUAAUGCGACACAUCCUGAAGUGAAAUGCACCUUCAAUCUAGAUAUCAUUGGGAUAAAGGAAAAUCCAAAUGGUCCAAUGUACACAUCUGUCAGCAUCGUGACGGAAGAGAACUAUCAUUGAGGUGAAUGUAAGUGAACUUGGUUGUUACACCUGGUGGAUAAGUUGUCUGGGGUGAGAAACUUGCUGCUCAUAAAGAGAUGUUAGAGCUUUUUUUUUUUUAUGGGAAUAAAUUUCUGAAACGUUUGUAAGUGAAGGUUGUAUGUUUUCAAGUCAUCAAUGAAAACGGGUCAUACACGCCUUUCAUUUUCUUUCUUUUGCAGUGAUUUCUUGGGAUUAAGAGCCAGUGGAAAACGUGUCUCACCCCUCGAGAAUGAGAUGCAAAAUGGAAUCACCACUCUCUUCUUAAUAUAAGCUGUUUAUUGACCCUUUCUUUCUGCCAUUUUCAAUACAGGUAAAUUUUUACACCAUUGCAUAAGCUGCUGGAGGAUGUGAUGGAUGCCAAAUUCAUCACAACCAAUCAUAUGGUAAAUUAAGCAUAUAUAUGCUUGUUAUUCCAAAUUGUUUUCUGAGGAAAAAAGCUUAUCUUUUUUUGAGGUGAGGAGAUACAGUGAGUCUUGUGGCAUCAUUUCAAGAAGCUUCAUGUGGUAUCUGAUCCUGAGCCAGGAAAUCGCGUAGUAGGUCCCCAAUGGCUAGAACCAUACUGGAACCAUCCUCAAAAGCAAGCAGAUAGCGACACGAGUGCUUUGGAAGAGCCAGCAAGGGACAUGAUCUGGUGGCUCCCUGAACAUGGAGUACAACGGUGGAAAAAGCUAGAGGCUCUUGGAACCUCAAAGUUUGAAGGAGAUGCUUCCGGAGAAUCAUUUCUGGUCGACAAGCGGCCCAAGGUCAAGUUGAUGGGACAAUGGAGACAAUUACAGAGAUGGUUACAUUGGAAGGAAGACUUCGACUUCGCUUGCCCCCGUAUAGACGUGACUGCGACCCUUUCAUACGCCCUUAUCCUUCAGACAUGGCUGGCUGUGGGGUUGUGACAGACCAAAAUAGAGACAUUAUUACCUAAAUGGUAUGCAUCGUGUGGUUACGUACGCAGUCAAUAAGAGUUGCUGGUUUCUAUGUAUUCUUUUUAUUAAGCAUGUAACUUGAUGCACUAGCAUAGAAGCUAGCGGCUGUGAUUGAUUGCGUGCACAAUUUUAUUGGUGCAUGCAAUAAUUUCUUUGA